Molecule: ribosomal RNA, 691 nt
Filed under: uncultured Campylobacterota bacterium
Lineage: Bacteria; Pseudomonadati; Campylobacterota
Description: bacterial SSU rRNA
Rfam family: Bacterial small subunit ribosomal RNA
Source: RNAcentral
AGAGUUUGAUCCUGGCUCAGGGUGAACGCUGGCGGCGUGCCUAACACAUGCAAGUCGAACGAGAACGGGUUUAGUUUACUAAACUGUCAGCUAAGUGGCGCACGGGUGAGUAAUGUAUAGUUAACCUGCCUUCAAGAAGGGGAUAAUUGCUGGAAACGGCAUGUAAGACCCUAUAUGCCUUUAUAACAUAAGUUAGCAAGGGAAAUUUUGCCACUUAAAAAAAUAUAUUUUUAAAAUUUAGUUGAAAUAGUAAAUAUGAGAUACAAAGAAGCUUUUUGAGACUUUAUGAAUAUAAAGUAAGAAAGGAUGAUGUAGUAGGUUGUAUUUAAUGUUUCAAUCCAACUAUAACACAACUACUUCAUGAAAAUCACUUGCUAUACUAGAGUAUAGCUUUAUAAUCUUUAUUUUGUAUUUGUAUCAUAUUUGAAUUGCUAAAUGUUAAAAAUAUCUUUUUUUAAGUGGCUUAGCUUGAAGAUGGGACUGUAUGGUAUCAGUUAGUUGGUGGGGUAAUGGCCUACCAAGACAAUGACGCCUAACUGGUUUGAGAGGAUGAUCAGUCACACUGGAACUGAGACACGGUCCAGACUCCUACGGGAGGCAGCAGUGGGGAAUAUUGCACAAUGGAGGAAACUCUGAUGCAGCAACGCCGCGCGGAGGAUGACACUUUUCGGAGCGUAAACUCCUUUUAUAU